GGGAUAGCAGCUGGAAACGGCUGAUAAAACCGCAUAAGCGCACAGCAUCGCAUGAUGCAGUGUGAAAAACUCCGGUGGUAUGAGAUGGACCCGCGUCUGAUUAGCUGGUUGGUGAGGUAACGGCCCACCAAGGCGACGAUCAGUAGCCGGCCUGAGAGGGUGACCGGCCACAUUGGGACUGAGACACGGCCCAAACUCCUACGGGAGGCAGCAGUGGGGAAUAUUGCACAAUGGGGGAAACCCUGAUGCAGCGACGCCGCGUGAAGGAAGAAGUAUCUCGGUAUGUAAACUUCUAUCAGCAGGGAAGAUAAUGACGGUACCUGACUAAGAAGCCCCGGCUAACUACGUGCCAGCAGCCGCGGUAAUACGUAGGGGGCAAGCGUUAUCCGGAUUUACUGGGUGUAAAGGGAGCGUAGGCGGCGGAGCAAGUCAGAAGUGAAAGCCCGGGGCUCAACCCCGGGACGGCUUUUGAAACUGCCCUGCUUGAUUUCAGGAGAGGUAAGCGGAAUUCCUAGUGUAGCGGUGAAAUGCGUAGAUAUUAGGAGGAACACCAGUGGCGAAGGCGGCUUACUGGACUGACAAUGACGCUGAGGCUCGAAAGCGUGGGGAGCAAACAGGAUUAGAUACCCUGGUAGUCCACGCCGUAAACGAUGA
Molecule: ribosomal RNA, 654 nt
Filed under: uncultured bacterium
Lineage: Bacteria
Description: bacterial SSU rRNA
Rfam family: Bacterial small subunit ribosomal RNA
Source: RNAcentral